AAUUCUAUAAUAUCAAUAUGCUCCGCUAUUAUUCCUGAACCUGUUUCAUAUGAAACUCCUGCAACUGAGCUGUAAAUAUUCCGAGAUCCGGAUUUACUAAAGGAAUUCAGUUAUCGAUUGGUUUGAUGCACCAUUGCCGGGAUCGAGAAAUGCCUGAUUCCGAUGAACUUGAUGUUCCUGCUCCCGAUAGCUACUACCCUGUUCGAAGCACUGUUUGCCGCUUCCGCCAUCCAACGUUCACGAUUCCUGGAACCGAGAAGCUGGUUAUUGUUACUGAAAAAAAAAAUCCACGCUACUCCCAGUAGUAGCCACUCCGUCCCGACUGUAGCUCCAUUGACCGUUCCAGACGCCCUUCAGGAUUUGAUAAAGGCGGAUAUGAAAGUUAGUGAUUUCUUCUGGUCCCGAGAAAAAAAAAA
This is a long non-coding RNA of Aedes aegypti (yellow fever mosquito), 416 nucleotides long. RefSeq lists it as uncharacterized. The record is from RefSeq and is a predicted model, not a curated record. NCBI's taxonomy places the organism in Eukaryota, Metazoa, Arthropoda, Insecta, Diptera, Culicidae. The transcript has 2 exons.